GAUGAAGAACGCAGCAAAAUGCGAUAAGUAAUGUGAAUUGCAGAAUUCAGUCAAUCAUCGAAUCUUUGAACGCACAUUGCGCCCGCUGGUAUUCCGGCGGGCAUGCCUGUUCGAGCGUCAUUUCAACCCUCAAGCCCCCGGGUUUGGUGUUGGGGAUCGGCUCUGCCCUUCUGGGCGGUGCCGCCCCCGAAAUACAUUGGCGGUCUCGCUGCAGCCUCCAUUGCGUAGUAGCUAACACCUCGCAACUGGAACGCGGCGCGGCCAUGCCGUAAAACCCCAACUUCUGAAUGUUGACCUCGGAUCAGGUAGGAAUACCCGCUGAACUUAAGCAUAUCAAUAAGCGGAGGA
Molecule: unclassified non-coding RNA, 348 nt
Filed under: soil metagenome
Description: partial contains 5.8S ribosomal RNA, internal transcribed spacer 2, and large subunit ribosomal RNA
Rfam family: 5.8S ribosomal RNA (bases 1-120)
Source: RNAcentral